CGUAGUUGGAUUUCUGGUCUAAUGCGCCUGGCCCGCGGCAGUAAUGCCUGUGAGUGCCGGUGCGCGUUAACCAUCCUUCUAGAAAACGUUUCUACCAUUCACUUGGCUGGACUCGCGAUCUAGAUCUUUUACUUUAGAAAAAAUUAGAGUGUUCAAAGCAGGCUUUUGCUGUGAAUACAUUAGCAUGGAAUAAUAAUCUAGGACUUCGGUUUUAUUUUGUUGGUUUCUAAAAUUGAAGUAAUGA
RNAcentral lists this ribosomal RNA (244 nucleotides) under uncultured eukaryote. Its description in RNAcentral is "partial 18S ribosomal RNA". It matches the Rfam family "Eukaryotic small subunit ribosomal RNA", at positions 629 to 868 of the family's 1831-position model. The record is from RNAcentral.